This 503-nucleotide ribosomal RNA is filed under the name Pseudomonas sp. TERI 1012. RNAcentral describes it as "bacterial SSU rRNA". It matches the Rfam family "Bacterial small subunit ribosomal RNA", at positions 33 to 519 of the family's 1533-position model. RNAcentral also lists the same sequence under 1 other name. The record is from RNAcentral. Lineage: Bacteria; Pseudomonadati; Pseudomonadota; Gammaproteobacteria; Pseudomonadales; Pseudomonadaceae.
GGUGACGCUGGCGGUAGGCCUAACCAUGCAAGUCGAACGGCAGCACAGGAGAGCUUGCUCUCUGGGUGGCGAGUGGCGGACGGGUGAGGAAUGCAUCGGAAUCUACUCUGUCGUGGGGGAUAACGUNAGGGAAACUUACGCUAAUACCGCAUACGACCUACGGGUGAAAGCAGGGGACCUUCGGGCCUUGCGCGAUUGAAUGAGCCGAUGCCCGAUUAGCUAGUUGGCGGGGUAAGAGCCCACCAAGGCGACGAUCGGUAGCUGGUCUGAGAGGAUGAUCAGCGCACACUGGAACUGAGACACGGUCCAGACUCCUACGGGAGGCAGCAGUGGGGAAUAUUGGACAAUGGGCGCAAGCCUGAUCCAGCCAUACCGCGUGGGUGAAGAAGGCCUUCGGGUUGUAAAGCCCUUUUGUUGGGAAAGAAAAGCAGCCGGUUAAUACCGCGGUUGUUCUGACGGUACCCAAAGAAUAAGCACCGGCUAACUUCGUGCCAGCAGCCGGG